AUUUGGAGCAUAGUUAAUCGCGUAAAAGACACUUUGACCACACAUACUUUCAAAGGGAACCACUAAAAGAAGUAAAUGCCUCUAGCUCCAGUGAGUCUCAGAAUGUGCCUGGCCCAUUGCAAAUUCCACCGCCUAAACAGGACUUAGUUAAUCCUGUAAUCAUUGAACCAGUGAUGAAUGAAGCAUUUCAAGCCUCUGGCUUGGAUACAGUCAGAAUUGCUAAGGAUCCGAAACCUAUGAGAAGACGUUUAAUCACGAAAGUAAAAGAUUUGUCACCAACAUGCAAAAGUAUUUAUAAAGAAUACAAAAAGUCUAAACAGCAGGCCGAUUUUCAUCGAAGAGUU
Molecule: long non-coding RNA, 344 nt
Organism: Hyposmocoma kahamanoa
Lineage: Eukaryota; Metazoa; Arthropoda; Insecta; Lepidoptera; Cosmopterigidae
Exons: 4
Source: RefSeq, a predicted model, not a curated record